This 499-nucleotide ribosomal RNA is filed under the name uncultured bacterium. RNAcentral's name for it is "partial 16S ribosomal RNA". It matches the Rfam family "Bacterial small subunit ribosomal RNA", at positions 28 to 507 of the family's 1533-position model. The record is from RNAcentral.
GACGAACGCUGGCGGCGUGCCUAAUACAUGCAAGUCGAGCGAAGUUUUUCUGGUGCUUGCACUAGAAAAACUUAGCGGCGAACGGGUGAGUAACACGUAAAGAACCUGCCUCAUAGACUGGGACAACUAUUGGAAACGAUAGCUAAUACCGGAUAACAGUAUUUCUCGCAUGAGAGAUAUUUAAAAGUUGGUUAUGCUAAUACUAUGAGAUGGCUUUGCGGUGCAUUAGCUAGUUGGUGGGGUAAAGGCCCACCAAGGCGACGAUGCAUAGCCGACCUGAGAGGGUGAUCGGCCACACUGGGACUGAGACACGGCCCAGACUCCUACGGGAGGCAGCAGUAGGGAAUCUUCCGCAAUGGGCGAAAGCCUGACGGAGCAACGCCGCGUGAGUGAAGAAGGAUUUCGGUUCGUAAAGCUCUGUUGUUAGGGAAGAAUGGAUAUGUAGUAACUAUACAUGUAAGAGACGGUACCUAACCAGAAAGCCACGGCUAACUACGUG